This is a non-coding RNA of Mangrovimonas sp. DI 80, 396 nucleotides long. It matches the Rfam family "transfer-messenger RNA". From Rfam's summary of the family: Bacterial tmRNA, also known as 10Sa RNA or SsrA, is named for its dual tRNA and mRNA-like properties. Its role is to liberate the mRNA from a stalled ribosome. Lineage: Bacteria; Pseudomonadati; Bacteroidota; Flavobacteriia; Flavobacteriales; Flavobacteriaceae. The record is from Rfam.
GGGGUCGACUGGUUUUGACAGCGAGAUUAAUUAAACGGUAAGCACGUCGUGUAAUGACUUUGAAACACGUUAAAGGCUAGGUCAAACUUUUAAACGGCGAGAAUAACUACGCUUUAGCUGCUUAAUCUGAAUUAUAGUAAGAUUUGCCUAGGUACACAAGGUGUACAAGCUAAAUGUCUCCGGAAAGCCUUGAUUGACGGCGUUCCAUUUUGAGGCAUCGUAAAUGUCAAUAUAGAAAGUAGGGCGCUUUGACCUGCUUUUGAAACUAAAAAAGAUAAGUUGUCGCUAGGCUGUCUUUAGCCAGGUUGCAAUCGAAAACACAAGAAAAGACUAAGCGUGAAGAAAGCUCUUUAGUUACUUGUUUGGACGAGAGUUCGAUUCUCUCCGACUCCACCA